GGUGAGUAACGCGUGAGAAUCUGCCAACAGGACUGGGACAACAGUGGGAAACCGCUGCUAACCCCGGAUGUACCGAGAGGGAAAAUAUUUAUAGCGCUGUUGAUGAGCUCGCGUCUGAUUAGCUAGUUGGUGGGGUAAAGGCUUACCAAGGCGGCGAUCGGUAGCUGGUCUGAGAUGAUGACCAGCCACACUGGGACUGAGACAAUGCCCAGACUCCUACGGGAGGCAGCAGUUGGGGAAUUUUCCGCAAUGGGCGAAAGCCUGACGGAGCAAUACCGCGUGAGGGAAGAACGCUCUUGGGUUGUAAACCUCUUUUC
RNAcentral lists this ribosomal RNA (317 nucleotides) under uncultured cyanobacterium. RNAcentral describes it as "bacterial SSU rRNA". It matches the Rfam family "Bacterial small subunit ribosomal RNA", at positions 105 to 438 of the family's 1533-position model. Lineage: Bacteria; Bacillati; Cyanobacteriota. The record is from RNAcentral.